RNAcentral lists this non-coding RNA (46 nucleotides) under Schistosoma curassoni. Lineage: Eukaryota; Metazoa; Platyhelminthes; Trematoda; Strigeidida; Schistosomatidae. The record is from RNAcentral.
GCACAGCUGAUGAGUCCCAUACCAGGACGAAACGACCGUCCAAUGC